Molecule: ribosomal RNA, 430 nt
Filed under: uncultured fungus
Lineage: Eukaryota; Fungi
Description: eukaryotic LSU rRNA
Rfam family: Eukaryotic large subunit ribosomal RNA
Source: RNAcentral
GACCUCGGAUCAGGUAGGGAUACCCGCUGAACUUAAGCAUAUCAAUAAGCGGAGGAAAAGAAACCAACAGGGAUUGCCUUAGUAACGGCGAGUGAAGCGGCAACAGCUCAAAUUUGAAAUCUGGCCUCAUGGUCCGAAUUGUAAUUUGUAGAGGAUGCUUCGAGCAUGGUCUGGUCUAAGUUCCUUGGAACAGGACGUCAUAGAGGGUGAGAAUCCCGUAUGCGACUAGGUGCCUAAGCUCAUGUGAAGCUCCUUCGACGAGUCGAGUUGUUUGGGAAUGCAGCUCAAAAUGGGUGGUAAAUUUCAUCUAAAGCUAAAUACUGGCCAGAGACCGAUAGCGCACAAGUAGAGUGAUCGAAAGAUGAAAAGCACUUUGGAAAGAGAGUUAAACAGUACGUGAAAUUGUUGAAAGGGAAGCGCUUGCAACCAG